Molecule: transfer RNA, 84 nt
Filed under: Ailuropoda melanoleuca (giant panda)
Lineage: Eukaryota; Metazoa; Chordata; Mammalia; Carnivora; Ursidae
Rfam family: tRNA
About the family: Transfer RNA (tRNA) molecules are approximately 80 nucleotides in length. Their secondary structure includes four short double-helical elements and three loops (D, anti-codon, and T loops).
Source: Rfam by way of RNAcentral
GCCUGGGUGGCUCAGUUGGUUAAGCGUCUGCCUUUGGCUCAGGUCCUGAUCCCUGGGUCCUGGGAUCGAGUCCCACCUCGGGCU